Long non-coding RNA from Lutra lutra (Eurasian river otter), 717 nucleotides. RefSeq lists it as uncharacterized. Lineage: Eukaryota; Metazoa; Chordata; Mammalia; Carnivora; Mustelidae. The transcript has 4 exons. The record is from RefSeq and is a predicted model, not a curated record.
AGCAACCCCCCUCCAGCCCUGGGGCACACUGGCCUGCCUCUGCCCACAAGGGCAAGGUUGAGGUCAGCACUUUGGCUGGCUGAGAAUUUGGAGCUCAGUCAUGCUGGGCCUGUGGGCUGAGCUCCCUGAAGCCACGGAGCAGAGACAGGGCCAGCCGCAGGAUCUGGCCAAGGUCAGAUCCUCAGAGGUAAGCCCCACAAAGGCAGGCAUGUUCAUCGGUGUCUAAGACCUUACCUGGAAAUCAGUAAACGUUUGUUGAAUGAACGAGGCUCAGAGACACGUAGGAUGUACUCAAGGUCACGCAGCACAUCUGUGACAGAGAGAGAGGCAAACCCAGCACUGUCUGAAGACAGCAAAUAAAAGGAAGCAUUCCACUCAGGUCUGACACUCUCGACAGGCUUGUCCACUGGAGCGCGGGAAGUCUGCCUCCCCACACAAUUCUCCACGAUGACUGUGGGGAUGGUACGGUGGUGAACCAAGCAUCACUAAGACGAAAGAGGUGAUUAGGGAGGAGCUUUCUUGGCCACCCAGCUGGAUCUCUGCACCCUGCUGACCCCAGGUCCUGUCUCAGCCUGAGGUCCCACUCUGGGGUGGUCUGUAGGAGGUAGCUGGGAUCACACAGCAUUGGAAACCUCCUAGCUUUACGGCUGUCCCAGAGCUCAGAGUGAAGAAGGAAGGCUUCUGGGAUGGGCGGACUACAGGGAGGGAGAUCCCAGC